RNAcentral lists this non-coding RNA (117 nucleotides) under Gorilla gorilla gorilla (western lowland gorilla). Lineage: Eukaryota; Metazoa; Chordata; Mammalia; Primates; Hominidae. The record is from Rfam by way of RNAcentral.
GCCGGGCAUGGUGAUUCAUGCCUGUAAUCCUAGCACUUUGGGAGGCUGAGGCAGGUGGAUCACUUGAGGUCAGGAGUUCAAAACCAGCCUGGCCAACAUGGUGAAACCCUGUCUCUA